RNAcentral lists this ribosomal RNA (329 nucleotides) under uncultured eukaryote. Its description in RNAcentral is "partial 18S ribosomal RNA". It matches the Rfam family "Eukaryotic small subunit ribosomal RNA", at positions 1470 to 1796 of the family's 1831-position model. The record is from RNAcentral.
CCCUUAGAUGUCCUGGGCCGCACGCGUGCUACACUGGUACAUUCAACGAGUUUACAACCUGAACUGAUAAGUUUGGGUAAUCUUUUGAAAAUGUACCGUGAUUGGGAUAGAUGAUUGCAAUUGUUCAUCUUCAACGAGGAAUACCUAGUAAACGCAAGUCAUCAGCUUGCAUUGAUUACGUCCCUGCCCUUUGUACACACCGCCCGUCGCACCUACCGAUUGAAUGGUCCGGUGAAAUCUUCGGAUUGAGACUUUGAUUUCUUCACGGAAAACGCUGUUUUAAAAAGUUGAUUAAACCUUACCAUUUAGAGGAAGGUGAAGUCGUAACA